AGACUGAUAUAUGUAAAUGCCAGCCUAUGAGCUUCCUGGUAGGGACACCAGCUGUGAAGGCCUCAUAACAGCCAACUUCUUGCAACUCUCAAGCUGACGGCCUCACAAAUGGGAGGAAGGACUCCUCCACUGGAGAACUGAUAGCAGUAUUCUGGUAGAGGAGGCAUCAAGAGUCCUGGGAGGCCGGUGGUAAUCAUGUAGGCGCCAUGGAAACUGCCAUGUGCGUUUGCUGUCCAUGUUGUACAUGGCAGAGAUGUUGUCCUCAGUUAUGCUCCUGUCUGUGCUGCAAGUUCAUCUUCACCUCAGAGCGGAACUGCACCUGCUUCCCCUGCCCUUACAAAGAUGAGCGGAACUGCCAGUUCUGCCACUGCACCUGUUCUGAGAGCCCCAACUGCCAUUGGUGUUGCUGCUCUUGGGCCAAUGAUCCCAACUGUAAGUGCUGCUGCACAGCCAGCAGCAAUCUCAAGUGCUACUACUAUGAGAGCCGCUGCUGCCGCAAUACUAUCAUCACUUUCCACAAGGGCCGCCUCAGGAGCAUCCAUACCUCCUCCAAGACUGCCCUGCGCAUUGGGAGCAGCGAUACCCAGGUGGAUGAAGUGAAGUCAAUACCAGCCAACAGUCACCUGGUGAACCACCUCAAUUGCCCCAUGUGCAGCCGGCUGCGCCUGCACUCAUUCAUGCUGCCCUGCAACCACAGCCUGUGCGAGAAGUGCCUUCGGCAGCUGCAGAAGCACGCCGAGGUCACCGAGAACUUCUUCAUCCUCAUCUGCCCAGUGUGUGACCGCUCGCACUGCAUGCCCUACAGCAACAAGAUGCAGCUGCCCGAGAACUACCUGCGCGGGCGUCUCACCAAGCGCUACAUGCAGCAGCACGGCUACCUCAAGUGGCGCUUUGACCGCUCCUCCGGGCCCAUCCUCUGCCAGGUCUGCCGCAACAGGCGCAUCGCUUACAAGCGCUGCAUCACUUGCCGCCUCAACCUGUGCAACGACUGCCUCAAGGCCUUCCACUCGGAUGUGGCCAUGCAAGACCACGUCUUUGUGGACACCAGCGCCGAGGAACAGGACGAGAAGAUCUGCAUCCACCACCCAUCCAGCCGCAUCAUCGAGUACUGCCGCAAUGACAACGAAUUGCUCUGCACCUUCUGCAAGUUCUCUUUCCACAAUGGCCACGACACCAUUAGCCUCAUCGACGCCUGCUCCGAGAGGGCCGCCUCACUCUUCAGCGCCAUCGCCAAGUUCAAAGCAGUCCGAUAUGAAAUUGAUAAUGACCUAAUGGAAUUCAACAUCUUAAAAAACAGCUUUAAAGCUGACAAGGAGGCAAAGCGAAAAGAGAUCAGAAAUGGCUUCCUCAAGUUGCGCAGCAUUCUUCAGGAGAAAGAGAAGAUCAUCAUGGAGCAGAUAGAGAAUCUAGAAGUGUCCAGGCAGAAGGAAAUUGAAAAAUAUGUGCAUGUUACAACCAUGAAAGUGAACGAGAUGGAUGGUCUGAUCGCCUACUCCAAGGAAGCCCUGAAGGAGACUGGCCAGGUGGCAUUCCUGCAGUCAGCCAAGAUCCUGGUGGACCAGAUCGAGGACGGCAUCCAGACCACCUACAGGCCUGACCCACAGCUCCGGCUACACUCAAUAAACUGCAUGCCCUUGGACUUUGUUGAGCUUUCCAGUGCCAUCCAUGAGCUCUUCCCCACAGGGCCCAAGAAGGUACGCUCCUCAGGGGACUCGCUGCCCUCCCCCUACCCCGUGCACUCAGAAACAAUGAUUGCCAGGAAGGUCACUUUCAGCACCCACAGCCUCGGCAACCAGCAGAUAUACCAGCGAAGCUCCUCCAUGUUGUCCUUCAGCAACACUGACAAGAAGGCCAAGGUGGGUCUGGAGGCCUGUGGGACAGCCCAGUCAGCCACCCCUGCCAAACCCACAGACGGCCUCUACACCUACUGGAGCGCUGGAGCAGACAGCCAGUCUAUACAGAACAGCAGCAGCUUCCACAACUGGUACUCAUUCAACGAUGGCUCUGUGAAGACCCCAGGCCCAAUUGUUAUCUACCAGACUCUGGUGUACCCAAGAGCUGCCAAGGUUUACUGGACAUGUCCAACAGAAGACGUGGACUCUUUUGAGAUGGAAUUCUAUGAAGUCAUCACUUCUCCUCCUAACAACGUACAAAUGGAGCUCUGUGGACAAAUUCGGGACAUAAUGCAGCAAAAUCUGGAGCUCCACAACCUGACCCCCAACACAGAAUACGUGUUUAAAGUUAGAGCCAUCAAUGAUAAUGGUCCUGGGCAAUGGAGUGAUAUCUGCAAGACAUAAGAAUGGGCAUGUGAUCCAGGAUCAGCCAAUCAGAGAGCUGCUUUCCCUUGGAAAACAAGAUUGGCCAUAUGAUCCAAAUACGAUUUUUGGCCUGCAUGCUGGCCUCAUCACCAACCAUGGCAGGAGAAGCCAACAGCCAAAGCAAGCCCAGUCCCCUGCCACUUCCAAGCACUCAUCCUUCUCCAAAUGGCUCUCAACCCAUCUCUUACCAGCUAUUAAACAUCUCUCAGCCCUUUGAAUAUGAAGCAGUAUGUUUCACUUUGCUCUUCAACAUCCAUAAAUAUCUACUGAGUGCUUUUUGUGUGCAGGAACACAACAAACUCAAGAAGUGAAGUUUGUCCUCAAGGGAAUUACCACCUUAAUCAGGAGUCAAGAAACAACAGGUGUGAGCAACUUGGGAAGAAUUGGGUCUUAAUUUAUCCUGGAUAAUCUGCUUUAAUACCUAAAACUUGUAUUAGAGAACAGAGCCUAACUGAAUGUGGUUUUGCUAUGACUACCUGAAGAAAAUGUACAGGACACUCUUAAAAUAAAAUAAUUAAGCAUA
Pongo pygmaeus (Bornean orangutan) is the source of this 2841-nucleotide RNA transcript. It is a transcript of the gene named tripartite motif containing 42, with no coding region annotated. The record is from RefSeq and is a predicted model, not a curated record. NCBI's taxonomy places the organism in Eukaryota, Metazoa, Chordata, Mammalia, Primates, Hominidae. The transcript has 9 exons.